Molecule: ribosomal RNA, 200 nt
Filed under: uncultured bacterium
Lineage: Bacteria
Description: partial 16S ribosomal RNA
Rfam family: Bacterial small subunit ribosomal RNA
Source: RNAcentral
UACGUAGGGUGCAAGCGUUGUCCGGAAUUAUUGGGCGUAAAGAGCUCGUAGGCGGUCUGUCGCGUCUGCUGUGAAACUCAGGGCUUAACCCUGAGCUUGCAGUGGGUACGGGCAGACUAGAGUGCGGUAGGGGAGACUGGAAUUCCGUGGUGUAGCGGUGAAAUGCGCAGAUAGUCAGGGAGGGAACACCGGUGGCGAAG